ACUCCGUUGGUGAACCAGCGGAGGGAUCAUUACCGAGUGCAAACUCAUAACCCUUUGUGAACCUAUAUCUGUUGCUUCGGCGGCUCGCUCUCGGGCGAGCCCGCCGGUAAUAUCAGUAUCUCUGUUUGAACCCGACGAUACUUCUGAGUGUUCUUAGCGAACAGUUAAAACUUUUAACAACGGAUCUCUUGGCUCUA
RNAcentral lists this unclassified non-coding RNA (197 nucleotides) under plant metagenome. Its description in RNAcentral is "partial contains small subunit ribosomal RNA, internal transcribed spacer 1, and 5.8S ribosomal RNA". The record is from RNAcentral.